RNAcentral lists this ribosomal RNA (254 nucleotides) under uncultured bacterium. RNAcentral describes it as "partial 16S ribosomal RNA". It matches the Rfam family "Bacterial small subunit ribosomal RNA", at positions 524 to 776 of the family's 1533-position model. The record is from RNAcentral.
UACGUAGGGGGCGAGCGUUGUCCGGAUUUAUUGGGCGUAAAGAGCUCGUAGGCGGUUCGGCAAGUCGACGGUGAAAUCUCCACGCUCAACGUGGAGGGGUCCGUCGAUACUGCCGUGACUCGAGUCCGGUAGGGGAGAAUGGAAUUCCCGGUGUAGCGGUGAAAUGCGCAGAUAUCGGGAAGAACACCCGUGGCGAAGGCGGUUCUCUGGGACGGUACUGACGCUGAGACGCGAAAGCGUGGGGAGCGAACAGG